Molecule: ribosomal RNA, 274 nt
Filed under: uncultured bacterium
Lineage: Bacteria
Description: partial 16S ribosomal RNA
Rfam family: Bacterial small subunit ribosomal RNA
Source: RNAcentral
CCGCCGGCGACCGGCGCACGGGUGAGUAACACGUAUGCAACCUGGCCGUGACAGAUGGAUAACCGGGAGAAAUCCCGCCUAAUACAACAUAAUGGCCGGGAGGGGACAUCCCCUGCCGGUCAAAGGGGGCGACCCCGGUCACGGAUGGGCAUGCGGCGCAUUAGGUAGUUGGUGGGGCAACGGCCCACCAAGCCGACGAUGCGUAGGGGUUCUGAGAGGAAGGUCCCCCACAUUGGAACUGAGACACGGUCCAAACUCCUACGGGAGGCAGCAG